AAAGAGAUGAAAUUGUUGCAAUGACCGGAGAUGGUGUGAACGAUGCACCUGCCCUCAAAAAGGCCGACAUUGGAAUUGCCAUGGGCAUAACUGGAACCGAGGUUGCUAAAGAAGCUUCCGAUAUGGUUUUGGCAGAUGACAACUUUAGCACCAUUGUUUCAGUCGCAGAGGGUCGUUCGAUUUAUAGCAAAAUGAAAGCUUUCAUAAGGUACAUGAUAUCACCAAAUGUUGGAGAAGUAAUAUCUAUAU
This is a long non-coding RNA of Hibiscus syriacus, 249 nucleotides long. RefSeq lists it as uncharacterized. The transcript has 3 exons. NCBI's taxonomy places the organism in Eukaryota, Viridiplantae, Streptophyta, Magnoliopsida, Malvales, Malvaceae. The record is from RefSeq and is a predicted model, not a curated record.